AUUGAACGCUGGCGGCAUGCUUUACACAUGCAAGUCGAACGGCAGCGCGGGCUUCGGCCUGGCGGCGAGUGGCGAACGGGUGAGUAAUACAUCGGAACGUGCCCAGUAGUGGGGGAUAGCUCGGCGAAAUCCGGAUUAAUACCGCAUACGACCUGAGGGUGAAAGCGGGGGAUCUUCGGACCUCGCGCUAUUGGAGCGGCCGAUGGCAGAUUAGCUCGUUGGUGGGGUAAAGGCCUACCAAGGCGACGAUCUGUAGCUGGUCUGAGAGGAGGACCAGCCACACUGGGACUGAGACACGGCCCAGACUCCUACGGGAGGCAGCAGUGGGGAAUUUUGGAAAAUGGGCGAAAGCCUGAUCCAGCAAUGCCGCGUGUGUGAUGAAGGCCUUCGGGUUGUAAAGCACUUUUGGCGGGAACGAAAAGGACUGUGCCAAUACCACGGUUCGAUGACGGUACCCGCAGAAUAAGCACCGGCUAACUACGUG
This 484-nucleotide ribosomal RNA is filed under the name uncultured bacterium. RNAcentral's name for it is "partial 16S ribosomal RNA". It matches the Rfam family "Bacterial small subunit ribosomal RNA", at positions 29 to 507 of the family's 1533-position model. The record is from RNAcentral.